Molecule: ribosomal RNA, 1090 nt
Filed under: uncultured organism
Description: bacterial SSU rRNA
Rfam family: Bacterial small subunit ribosomal RNA
Source: RNAcentral
GUCUGGGGGGGAGAGUGGCGAACUGGUGAGUAACACGUGGGUGACCUGCCCCGAAGACGGGGAUAACCGUUGGAAACGACGGCUAAUACCCGAUAUACUCGGUGAUUCGGUUCAUCUGAGUAAAGGCUCCGGUGCUUCGGGAUGGGCCUGCGGCCUAUCAGCUAGUUGGUGGGGUAAUGGCCCACCAAGGCGAAGACGGGUAGGGGGCGUGAGAGCGCGGCCCCCCACACUGGCACUGAGAUACGGGCCAGACUUCUACGGAAGGCAGCAGUCGGGGAUAUUGCACAAUCGGCGAAAGCCGGAUGCAGCGACGCCGCGUGGGCCAUGAAGGCCUUCGGGUUGUAAAGCCCUUUUAUGGGGGAAGAGACAAGGACGGUACCCCAAGAAUAAGCGUCGGCUAACUACGUGCCAGCAGCCGCGGUAAAACGUAGGACGCAAGCGUUAUCCGGAUUCACUGGGCGUAACGAGCGUUGAGGCGGUUCCGUACGUUGGGCGUGAAAGCCCCGGGCUUAACCCGGGGAGGUCGUUCAAUACUGCGGGACUUGAGUGGCACCCGAGGGAGGCGGAAUUCCCGGUGUAACGGUGAACUGCGUAGAUAUCGGGAGGAACCACAGUGGCGAAGGCUGGCCUCCUGGUGCCGUUUCUGACGCUGAAGGCGAAAGCUAGGGGAGCGAACGGGAUUAGAAACCCCGGUAGUCCUAAGCAGUAAACGAUGGAUGCUGGCUGUGGGGGAUAUAGAUCCCCUCCGUGCCGAAGCUGACGCGCUAAGCAUCCCGCCUGGGGAUUACGGCCGCAAGGCUUAAACUCACAACAGAAUUGACUGGGGGCCCAGCACAAGCUAGCAGGAGCCGUGUGGUCUCAAUUCGAUGCUACACGAAGAACCUUACCUGGGCUUGACAUGCAGGUAGUAGUGAAGCGAAAGCGGAACGACCCUGUCGGGGAGCCUACACAGGUGCUGCAUGGCUGUCGUCAGUUCGCGCCGUGAGCUCUCGGGUUAAGUCCCGUAACAGAACGCAACCCUUGCCCUUAGUUACAUGUGUCUAAGGGGACUGCCCGGGACAACUGGGAGGAAGGUGGGGAUGACGUCAAG